UCUUAUAUGAAGUUACAAAAAUUAUUGUACCGUCUAAAGCAAUCACCUCGCGUUUGGGUCGAAAAAAUUUUAACAAGGCUAUUCAGCAUUUUAGCAUGAUUUGCUGUGAAGCAAAUCAUUUUGUAUUCUUUAGAUGAUCAUCUUUGAAUAUAGUCAUUUUACCUUGUGAUAUAUGUGAAUAUGAUAUUAUAAGUGGUAAUGAUCGAGAGGGAAUUGAAGACCUAAACCAGAAUU
This 234-nucleotide long non-coding RNA is filed under the name Lathyrus oleraceus (garden pea). RNAcentral describes it as "Pisum sativum (pea) long non-coding RNA (PSAT_LNC000367)". Lineage: Eukaryota; Viridiplantae; Streptophyta; Magnoliopsida; Fabales; Fabaceae. The record is from RNAcentral.